AACUGAGAUACUUUUGUGCUCACGACCUUUAUAUCUCAGUGAGAGGAAAAUUGUUUCUCACAGUUCCACUGCUCCUCACCUCCUGUAUCUGACAAGAAUGACUGGCCACCUUAGAUUCCUAUGGACUCUCCUGCUCUGCAUUGCAGCAUGCAGGGGCCAGUAUACUGUGACUCAGACUCCAGCAGGGAAAGCUGUUCUUGUGGGACAAACCAUCACACUCAACUGCAGGACCAGCAGCCCCAUCUUUGGUUAUGGAUUCUCCUGGUACCUUCAGAAACCUGGAGAAGCUCCUAAACUGUUGAUAUAUACCGUAGACGACCGCUAUGGAUCAACUCCCAGUCGCUUUGUUGGUGGAGGAUCCAGGUAUGGUAGUGACUUCACUCUGACCAUCAGUGAUGUCCAGGCUGAGGAUGCAGGAGUUUACUACUGUCAGAGUUACCAUAGUGGUGGCCAACAAAUAUGA
Molecule: non-coding RNA, 463 nt
Organism: Engraulis encrasicolus (European anchovy)
Lineage: Eukaryota; Metazoa; Chordata; Actinopteri; Clupeiformes; Engraulidae
Source: the annotation of a RefSeq genome assembly